AUUUGGGAGUAAUCGAUCUUACAAGGCAAUCUGAUUUUGCUGACGGAUGCUACAAGGAAUCUUUGGAAGAAAUUCAGGAUGCCAAAAGCGAUCCAAAACCGAGCGGCAAGCG
Molecule: long non-coding RNA, 112 nt
Organism: Etheostoma spectabile (orangethroat darter)
Lineage: Eukaryota; Metazoa; Chordata; Actinopteri; Perciformes; Percidae
Exons: 2
Source: RefSeq, a predicted model, not a curated record